Molecule: ribosomal RNA, 576 nt
Filed under: uncultured eukaryote
Lineage: Eukaryota
Description: SSU rRNA
Rfam family: Eukaryotic small subunit ribosomal RNA
Source: RNAcentral
UUUGUUACUUCAAACCAAUCGGACUUCGGUCUGACAUCAAGUGAUAUUGAACAAUUUAGCUGAUCGCACGGUCUAAGAACCGGCGACAUAUCCUUCAAAUGUCUGCCUUAUCAACUUUCGAUGGUAGAUUAUGCGCCUACCAUGGUAGUAACGGGUAACGGAGAAUCAGGGUUUGAUUCCGGAGAGGGAGCCUGAGAAACGGCUACCACAUCCAAGGAAGGCAGCAGGCACGCAAAUUACCCACUCCCGGCACGGGGAGGUAGUGACGAAAAAUAACAAGCUGGUCUCAAUGAGUUCCAGCAUUGUAAUGGGAACAAUUUAAAUCUUUUAUCGAGGAUCUAUUGGAGGGCAAGUCUGGUGCCAGCAGCCGCGGUAAUUCCAGCUCCAAUAGCGUAUAUUAAAGUUGUUGCGGUUAAAAAGCUCGUAGUUGGAUCUAGGAUUAGGGCUACGGUCGUUCAGCUUGGACGUACUGUAUGCCCGACUCCUUUUCUCUAGUAUUCGAUUGUUGCUCUUAAAUGAGUGACUUUAGUUGCUGGAACUUUUACCUUGAAAAAAUUGAAGUGCUCAAAGCAGGUU